RNAcentral lists this ribosomal RNA (494 nucleotides) under uncultured bacterium. RNAcentral's name for it is "partial 16S ribosomal RNA". It matches the Rfam family "Bacterial small subunit ribosomal RNA", at positions 28 to 507 of the family's 1533-position model. The record is from RNAcentral.
GACGAACGCUGGCGGCGCGCUUAACACAUGCAAGUCGAACGGAAAGGCCUGCUUUCCCUUGUGGAUUGCGGGUACUCGAGUGGCGAACGGGUGAGAAACACGUGAGUGAUCUGCCCCCAACUUGGGUAUAAGCCUGGGAAACUGGGUCUAAUUCCCGAUAGGACUGCAGGGUGGUGCCUGUGGUGGAAAACGAUUUUCUAGUGGUUGGGGAUGAGCUCGCGGCCUAUCAGCUUGUUGGUGGGGUAAUGGCCUACCAAGGCGGCGACGGGUAGCCGGCCUGAGAGGGUGGACGGCCACAUUGGGACUGAGAUACGGCCCAGACUCCUACGGGAGGCAGCAGUGGGGAAUAUUGCACAAUGGGCGGAAGCCUGAUGCAGCGACGCCGCGUGGGGGAUGACGGCCUUCGGGUUGUAAACUCCUUUCGACCGCGAGGAAGCCACCUGGUUGGAAGGGUGGUGACGGUAGUGGUAGAAGAAGCACCGGCUAACUACGUG